AAGCAAAAAUUACAGACAUUAUAAAUAAAGAUGAGCCAUGGUAUUCUUCAUGCAAAAAAUGUUUCAAGAAAGUUGAUGUUAUAAAAGACACUGCAACUUGUGGUAGCUGUAACAUAGAAAAUGUUGAUUAUGAAAGCAGAUAUUGUUUAAGAAUUGAAGUUUCUGCUGGAGAACGACGUGUUCGUGUUAUACUUUUUGACGCUGCAGAAUAUUUGUUUGGUUGUGAUGUCAAGGAGUAUAUUCAAUCAAUCUGUACGAAGAAGGAAGAAUCUAAUUACUACCGCAAGUUGGUGCUGAGU
Molecule: long non-coding RNA, 299 nt
Organism: Nicotiana attenuata
Lineage: Eukaryota; Viridiplantae; Streptophyta; Magnoliopsida; Solanales; Solanaceae
Exons: 3
Source: RefSeq, a predicted model, not a curated record